Molecule: ribosomal RNA, 290 nt
Filed under: uncultured bacterium
Lineage: Bacteria
Description: partial 16S ribosomal RNA
Rfam family: Bacterial small subunit ribosomal RNA
Source: RNAcentral
ACUUCCUACGAGAGGCAGCAGUGAGGAAUAUUGGUCAAUGGGCGCGAGCCUGAACCAGCCAAGUAGCGUGGAGGAUAACUGCCCUACGGGUUGUAAACUUCUUUUAUAAAGGAAUAAAGUGAGGCACGUGGGCCUUUUUGUAUGUACUUUAUGAAUAAGGAUAGGCUAACUCCGUGCCAGCAGCCGCGGUAAUACGGAGGAUCCGAGCGUUAUCCGGAUUUAUUGGGUUUAAAGGGAGCGUAGAUGGGUUGUUAAGUCGGUUGUGAAAGUUUGCGGCUCAACCGUAAAAU